Long non-coding RNA from Cyprinus carpio carpio, 3401 nucleotides. Lineage: Eukaryota; Metazoa; Chordata; Actinopteri; Cypriniformes; Cyprinidae. The record is from Ensembl.
CUGCAGUGAAUGGGUGCCAUCAGAAUGAGAGUCCAAACAGCUAAUAAAAACAUCACAAUAAUCCACAAGUAGUCCACACCAAUCCAGUGCAUCAGUUAACAUCUGGAGAAGAAAAAGGUUGCACGCUUCCAACAGUCAUAAAGUCCACUGUUUUAGACUGUUUCUGCUUGUAAACAGUGCUUGAUUUGUGCAGAUUUCUCUCCUGACUUUUCAUUAUGGACUCGUAUUUUAAUCCAAAAGUAACAGUUUUAAGUUAAAAAUAUCUUGAUGGAUUUGUUUCCUAACGUGCCGCUUUUGGCUUCACAAAAUAUUAAUUGGUGGACUGGACUGGAGUGGUGUGGAUUAUUUUGAUGUUUUUAUCCUUUGUUUCUCUGCAUGGGAUCCAUUGAUGAGCAAGUGAUGUGAAGCUACAUUUUUCCAAAUCUAUUCCCAUGAAGAAACAAACUCAUCUGCAUCUUUGGUGGUGUGGUACAGCAAAUAACAUUACUUACUUAAUCCUCUUUAUCCCCAAUGGGACAUAAGGCCACUAUCAUCUGACCUCAUAUUGUGGCUCGCUCCAGGUGAGAUGCAUUUCUUCCAGCUCUGAUGUCACUGUCCUCCUCUAGGUGAUCUUUGGUCUUCCUUGUCUUCUCUUACCAAGUGCCACGUUCGGGAUGCGGUGCUGGUCCAUUCUUAAUAAAUGCCCAAGCCAUCUCAACCAUCUGCGUUUGAUCUCAACCACCACACUGUUCUUCUGUAGAGCUCUACAGUACAUUUGAAAUUCUCUCUGGCCAAAAAAUACCAAAUUUUUCACAAGCAGGAGUUUUGGAAGGCAUCCAUCUUUCACAUAUCGCUAUGCAUCACUCCCUAGCAUUCAGAGUCAUACAAGAUUGACUUUGCAUUGCUGUCAUACAGUCUAAUCUUUGUUCGUAGGCUGUAAUGUUUUAACUUCCAGGUGGGCCAGAGUCUAGCAAAGGUGCUAUGAGCCUUCCCAAGAUGUGCAUUAAUAUCUUGCCAACUGCAUUGUCAGUGCCAAAUUAACUUUCCAGGUAGGUGAAUUCCUCUACCAUCACAAGUGGGCUACCAUCAACUGUGAUCCAAUUGGAUUGAUGCACAUACAUAACUUGGGUCUUGGUGGUAAUGAUAUUAAGACCUGUCUGGUUGGCAAUGUUGUGCAGCCUAGUUGUUUUCAGUUGCAAAGAAAUUAAAUUUUUAUAGGAAAACAUUCCAGUAUUUUUCUCUGUAUAGUGGACUUCAGUGGUGGACUUCAAAUUUUUAUUCUGGAAGUGGACUUGUGCUUUUAAGGGACAUUUUAUUUUGAUUCUAAAAUGGAUGUUAUUCAUUGACUUUCAUUGUGUGAAUAACCAAGGAACACAAAAAUCUUCAGCUAAAAAUCGUCUUUAAUGUUUUGCUCAAGAAAAAAGUAACAGAAAAUUUACAUUUUUGAUUAACUAUCUGUUAAACUAUCUAGGUGUCAGGGCAGAAAAAUCAAAAACACAUACAGUGAGUUUUUAUGAGUUUUUAGCUCAAGGACUGCAUUUAAAGUCACACCAGAGGUGUUCAGCUGGGAUUAGUAGUUGGAUUUAUGCAGACCAGUCAAGUUCUUCCACACUGACUCAAUCAAUAUAUAUUUUUUUAUCCUUGCCUCAUACACCGAGGCAUUGACAUGUUAGAAUAGAAAAGGGUCCUGUCCAAACUGUUGCUACAAAAUUAGAAGCACACAAUUCCCUAGAAUAUCAUUAUAUGCUUUAACAUUAAGAUUUGUACUCAUGGAUAUUACUAAAGUAGUCAAACCUGUUCACUGGAAGGGGGUGAGCGAAUACUUUUGGCAAUAUAGUGUAUGUGUGCCAAAAAAAGUUUAUACCUGUGUAUAUACUUGUAAAUACUACACUUGUUUCUUUUUUUUCCAAACAGACAUGUUUAAAAUUGUCGAAUUUGUUGAGACACAUGAGGUGGAGCUGGUUCCAGCCAUUUGGGUGGAGAAUGGCCAGUGCUAUUGGCCUAAUUCACUGAGGGGUAUGGCCCUUCACCUGGCCAUUAAAAACAAGACACCUCCUAACUGUGACUGGGGAAGUUGGGAAGUCCGAACAAUGUUUUCAACAGACAGCUAUGAAGAGGGCAGAAGGAAGGCUAAAGAGGCAGAGACCUGGUCAGACCACCAGUCAGACGCAGAAAUGUCUGGACAGAAACCACCAAGGCGUAAAAUGAAGAAUGUUCGAAUUGGCCCACCUGGAGGUUGCUUACUGGACUCAGAGGAGGAGUCUGGCCCACCCCCCAAGCAACUUCUUCCACCUGCCCCCACUGUAAACCUCCCUGUAGUCAUCCCAAACACAACUUUCACCCCUGUUCCCAUCACCACAUUGCCAGCAGCAGCAGCACCACCACAAGGGACAUAUACAGAGAUGCUGCAAAAUUGGCAGCCGAUGGACGAUGUGCCACCGCUGCGGAGUUGUCAGACGUUCUGAAUUGCCCCCCAGCAAUCAUCAGAACCAGCCCUGCUGAGGGAGGUUCUAACAAAAUUAGAGAUGGUGCUGGACCAGCAAUCCACCAUCCUCAGAUUGUUGCAGCUGCGGGAAGACCAGGGACAGCUUUUGAACAUUGAGGAAGGUUUGCUGCCCCUGCAAGACCUUCCACAACUGCUCAGCCUUGAGCAAAGGAUUCAGCAGAGCCCAGAUUACAAGCAAAAACUAAUAAACUGGUUGGGGCUUAUUGGUGGGGCGGACUGCACCUGGCGCAUAUUAAAGAGGUUGAUUGCCAACUCUCUGGCGAAGAACCUUAAUUGGAGAGGAGUCAAUGGAAAGACUUCAGUGGCCACUCUUCAACUCAGAGGGGUUGUGAUUGCUGCAGUUCGGGGGAAACCCCAUCACUGCUAAUGCAGCUGAAAUGGAGGUUGAGGGGACGAUAAGGAGGUGGCUCCAGCUGGCAGCUGAUCGAGAGGGCGGGCGCAAGAGACGGCUUUUGGAGAAGCCAGCUGUCUAAAGUGCGCUUGUGUCUCUGUCUGUGUUGAGGGGUGGAUGGGCAUGAAAGAGUUUCUGCAUUUGUUUUGCAUUUGUUAAUUAAUAUUUUCUAAAAUAUGUUAAUGUAUUUGUUCAUUAUUUUAAUAAAAUCCCUUAAAAAAUGUAAAUGGUUGUAUUUGUGUUUUCCUGCUAAAUUGAAGUAUGUUUGGCAGUUUCUGGGCCACAUCUGGCCCGGGGACCAAGCCGACUCUCAGCCAGAACUGUCUUAAAGUAUUUGGGCCAGACCUGGGCCACUUAAAACACUAAGUCUUUUUACAGGGUGUGGGCCGCUUCUGGGCCAGAGGAAACUGUUUAUGUAUGCUUUCAGUGAAUGGGCCAGUUUUGGGCAGGGGAUAGCCAGAACUGGGCCAGAACCAGAGCAAGGAUACGGCCCAGAGGUGGGCCAGACAAAUUUUGCUAUCUGGG